RNAcentral lists this ribosomal RNA (1879 nucleotides) under Ceratapion calcaratum. RNAcentral's name for it is "partial 16S ribosomal RNA". The record is from RNAcentral. Lineage: Eukaryota; Metazoa; Arthropoda; Insecta; Coleoptera; Brentidae.
UUCAGAGGAACCUGUCCUAUAAUUGAUAGUCCACAAUUUAAAUUACUUAUUUUAUUAAUUUACAUAUCGCCGUAGGUUGAAUAUUUUUGAAGAAAAUUAAUGUUCAAGAUUUUAUAUAUAAAAUUAAAUCAGGUCAAGGUGUAGUUUAUAGAUAAGAAGAGAUGGGUUACAAUAAAUUUAUUUAUACGGAUAAUUAUUUUAAAUAUUAAUUUGAAGGUGGAUUUGAAAGUAAUAUUUAUUAAAUAAUAAAUAUGAUUUUAGCUCUAAAAUAUGUACAUAUCGCCCGUCAUUUUCAUUAUAAAGUGAAACAAGUCGUAACAUAGUAGGUGUACUGGAAAGUGUACCUAGAAAGGCAAAUUAGAGCUUGAUAUAAAGCAUUUUAGUUACAUUAAAAAGUUUAUUGUGAAAAUCAAUAUAAUUUGAAUUUAAUUAAUUAUUAAAAUUUUAAGUUAACUAUUAUUUAAAUAAAAUAAUUGAUUGUUUUAUUAUUCAUGUAAAAAAAAUUUUUUUAUUAUAGUAAAUUAGUAUUGUGAAAGAAUUUAGUUAUUUUUUUUAUAGAAUAUUUUAUUUUUAGUACCUUGUGCAUCAGGGUUAAUUAAAUAAAUAUUAUAAGUUUAAUUUUCUCGAAUUUAAAAGAGCUAUAAAAUUAUAAUUUUUAUUGUGAUAUAAAUAUUAAUAAUAAUUUUAUUGUAAUGAAAUGUUAUUCGUUUUUAAAUAUAUCUAGUUUUUUAAGAAAUAAAUUUAAUUUAAUUAAUAAAAAUAUUUAUUUAAAUUUUUAAUUUAAUAUUAUUAUUAUUAAAUAUUUUAAGGGAUGAGCUUUAAAAUAAAUUAUUAAAAAUUAUUAUAAAAUUUAGUUAAGUAGGAUUAAAAAUUUUUAUCUUUAGUAGUAUGUUAUAAUAAAUUUAAUAUAUUAUAAAAUUUAUAUUAAUUUUAAAUUUUUUAUUAAAAUAUUAAUUUUUAUUUAAAAAAUUAGGAAAUUAUGAUUAAAUUAGUAUAAUUUUUUGUAUUUUGUUUAAAUUUAAAGAUUAAAUAAAGGAAUUCGGCAAAAAAUUUUUCACCUGUUUAUUAAAAACAUGGCUUUUUGAGUAUAAUUUAAAGUUUAACCUGCCCAAUGAAUAAUUAAAUGGCCGCGGUAUAUUGACCGUGCAAAGGUAGCAUAAUCAUUUGUUUUUUAAUUGAAAGCUGGAAUGAAAGGUUGGAUGAGAAAAUAACUGUCUCUAUUUAAAUUUUAGAAUUUUAUUUUUAAGUUAAAAAGCUUAAAUAACUUUUGAAGACGAGAAGACCCUAUAGAGUUUUAUAAUUUAAAUUUUUAAUAAAUUUAGAAUUUUUAUAUUUAAUUAUUUAAAUUAUUUAAUUGGGGUGAUUAAAAAAUUAAUUAAACUUUUUUUGUAUUAAAUCAUCGAUUAAUGAAUAAUUGAUCCUUUAUAAGAUUAAAAGAUUAAAUUACCUUAGGGAUAACAGCGUAAUUUUUUUUUAGAGUUCAAAUUAAAAGAAAAGAUUGCGACCUCGAUGUUGGAUUAAAAUUAACUAUUGGUGUAGAAGCUAAAUAAUUUGGGUCUGUUCGACCCUUAGAAUUUUACUUGAUCUGAGUUCAAACCGGUGUGAGCCAGGUUGGUUUCUAUCUCGAAAAAGUUAAUAUAUUUUAGUACGAAAGGACCUAAAUAUUUAAUAAAAAAUUUUUAUUUUAGAAUUAUAUUGUUAUUUUGGCAGAAUAGUGCGAUAGAUUUAGAAUCUUUAUAUGUAAUUUUACAAAUAAUAUUGUUAUUUAAAGAUUUUGUUAUAAUAAUAAUUUCAAGGGUAAUUUUGGCUUUAACAGUAAUAUUAGGAGUUGCUUUUUUAACUUUAUUAGAACGAAAGGUAUUAGGAUAUAUUCAAAUUC